UUAAUAAAAUCUUCAAAAAUUAUUAGGUCCUAAAAAUGAUUAAGUUAUAUUGAUAACUAAUUCAUAGCCUCCCAUUAAGUGAGUGAUAAUGAGUCCAUUAGUUUAAUAAUCAUUGAAGGCCCAAAGGCCUGGUGCUUAUUGACUAAUGGAAUUAUCAUUCAUAGUAUGAUAAUUUGGUUUGAGUCUUUCUGAUGGUGGUUAGGUUGGCCGACCAAAGUCGGGCUUGAUCAUUUAUUGGUUUGAUUCACCAAAUUAAAUCAUGUUAAUGGUUGGACCUAACCAGAUUUUUUCAGUGGAGGUCAAAGCCUACUGAUUAGGUUCUGGGGCAAAAUUAAUUACUAGAAGUUGUUUAGAGAAACAACUGGUUAUGAACCUACCCAUAGAUGCACAUGGGUUGACCAACCAAAGUUGGGCUCGUGUGUAGUCUGUGUGGAUUCUAGUACCCACUAAGG
Molecule: long non-coding RNA, 452 nt
Filed under: Elaeis guineensis (African oil palm)
Lineage: Eukaryota; Viridiplantae; Streptophyta; Magnoliopsida; Arecales; Arecaceae
Description: long non-coding RNA (EGUI_LNC048286)
Source: RNAcentral